RNAcentral lists this ribosomal RNA (301 nucleotides) under uncultured bacterium. Its description in RNAcentral is "partial 16S ribosomal RNA". It matches the Rfam family "Bacterial small subunit ribosomal RNA", at positions 509 to 807 of the family's 1533-position model. The record is from RNAcentral.
CAGUCGCCGCGGGAAUACAGAGGAUGCAAGCGUUAUCCGGAAUGAUUGGGUGUAAAGCGUCUGUAGGUGGCUUUUCAAGUCCGCCAUCAAAUCCCCGGGCUCAACCCUGGACAGGCAGUGGAAACUACCAAGCUGGAGUACGGUAGGGGCAGAGGGAAUUUCCGGUGGAGAGGUGAAAUGCGUUGAGAUUGGAAAGAACACCAACGGUGAAAACGCUCUGCUGGGCCGACACUGACACUGAGAGACGAAAUCUAGGGGAGCAAAUGGGAUUAGAUACCCGAGUAGUCCCUGUCUCUUAUAC